RNAcentral lists this ribosomal RNA (246 nucleotides) under uncultured bacterium. RNAcentral's name for it is "partial 16S ribosomal RNA". It matches the Rfam family "Bacterial small subunit ribosomal RNA", at positions 1255 to 1500 of the family's 1533-position model. The record is from RNAcentral.
CGGUGACGUGGAGCAAACCUCAGAAAGCCAAUCUCAGUUCGGAUUGUAGGCUGCAACUCGCCUACAUGAAGUUGGAAUCGCUAGUAAUCGCGAAUCAGAAUGUCGCGGUGAAUACGUUCCCGGGUCUUGUACACACCGCCCGUCGCACCAUGAGAGUUGGGAAUACCCGAAGCCUGUGAGCUAACUUUUAAGAGGCAGCAGUCGAAGGUAGAAUCAAUGAUUGGGGUGAAGUCGUAACAAGGUAUC